Molecule: ribosomal RNA, 843 nt
Filed under: uncultured eukaryote
Lineage: Eukaryota
Description: bacterial SSU rRNA
Rfam family: Eukaryotic small subunit ribosomal RNA
Source: RNAcentral
UGGUAGUCUCAUUGGUCUGGUCCUGCUGACGACCUGUCUGUGGCCCGACUCUGCGGACUGGUUCAAGCCAUUUAUCAGAUCGCGCGUCGAUUAAAUUAGGCCCGGCCGUCUGGGUGUGCCUGCUCUAUCCCAAUGCAUGGCUCGAAGCAAAAUGUCUCUAUUGUCCUUGUCGUUUACUUAAAACUAAUUAGAUUGCUUAAAGCUGGCGGGGGCGCCUGAAUACUGAGUGCAUGGAAUAAUGGAAUAGGACCUCGGUUCUAUUUUGUUGGUUUUAGGAAUGCCCGAUGUAAUGAUCGAUAGGAACAGUCGGGGGCAUUCGUAUUGUGACGUGAGAGGUGAAAUUCUUAGAUCGUAGCAAGACGAACUGAAGCGAAAGCAUUUGCCAAGAAUGUUUUCUCUGAUCAAGAACGAAAGUUAGAGGUUCGAAGGCGAUCAGAUACCGCCCUAGUUCUAACCAUAAACGAUGCCAGCCAGCAAUCCGCCGAAGUUCCUCCGAUGACUCGGCGGGCGACUUCCGGGAAACCAAAGCUUUUGGGUUCCGGGGGAAGUAUGGUUGCAAAGCUGAAACUUAAAGGAAUUGACGGAAGGGCACCACCAGGAGUGGAGCCUGCGGCUUAAUUUGACUCAACACGGGAAACCUCACCAGGCCCGGACACCGGGAGGAUUGACAGAUUGAUAGCUCUUUCUUGAUUCGGUGGGUGGUGGUGCAUGGCCGUUCUUAGUUGGUGGAGCGAUUUGUCUGGCUAAUUCCGAUAACGAACGAGACUCUAGCCUGCUAACUAGUCGCUUCCGACAUCCUUUUGCGCUGUCGGCGACACAUAAUCUUCUUAGAGGGACAGGCGG